GCCAGAUUGUUGUAGUACCUUGUGUGUCUCACUCUCCAGCAUUAUCCCUAGUGUUUGUUUCCCAGUGUUUUUGUAGACCUCUAGCUUGCAUUUUUGACCAUGUAUUUCUAAAUACACAAGGAUAUUUAAAAGGGCAUAAAAGAAGGAAAUAGAUUAAAAUACAUUUAGCCUCAUAGUAAUACAUUUUACAAAAUAGACAACAUCUGAAAAUGCUAAAAACGUCAGAAAAGCAGUAAAAAAACAAAGUGUCGGGAGGGUUUCUAUGGCGAUUUAGUACUACGAAGAUUUAAAGAUUAAAAGCUUUCUUCAAAAGAGUCAGAGAUCAGUUGAUGCGACGGAGGUGCGAGGGAAAGCUAAAGGAACUCCUAGGCAAAGAAAAACUAAAGAGACACUCUCCAAAGAUGACGAAGAGAGAGUGGAAGCCCUUCAAAGACAAAGGCUUUCAAAUCUGCAAGCAGUCGCAAGUAAUCUCCCCCUGGCAUUCGUCACAGUGCCACUGAGUGUAAAAGCACGAAAGGCAGAGCUUGAAUUUCCAGGCUCGACCCAUUGAUAGAGACCCUCAAGCAGGCCGCCAGGUUCUCUCCUUGCAGCCUGUUACGAAGAUCUGAUUUGACCUCAAAAUUUAGGAUUGCCGCAUUGAUCAUGCUAUAGGUGUCUGCAAGAAGCUGGUGAGCCACUUCUCUCACAGCUGGAAGGUCAGAGAUGCAAUUGCAAAAGCCCAGAAGGAACUCAAUCUACCUAUAUCUAAAUCUAUCACAUUUCCUCAUAUCAGAAUGCCAAACAAGAUGAUGAUGAUCAGCAAGAUAUUAGAGCAGCAGCAGGCUUUAACUCAGGUCCCGUCUGCGAACAAGAAGCUGCGGCAUCUAAUUCCAACCUGGCAAAAUACGGAUGUCUUGGAAUUUGUCAGCAAGUCACUGGGCCCAAUGCUGGAUUUCACUGAUGCACUUUCAGGGGGACACAGACCUGAACAAGAAUAUAAAGAAGAUGAUGCUGGACUACCUCAACGAGAAAUACUCACGAGGAUACUCAGAAGCUGCUAGAUAUGGACCACCCGUUCAAGAUGGACUUCAUCAGUAGAAGCCCCCAAGUUGAGACCAGAGUGGCAUCACAGAUGAUGGAAUGCCAGGAGACAUCAAGCUGCAGCACUGAAGUGGUGCCCAACGCACCCCAGGCAAGGAAAGCCAAGAAGUCCUUGGGAAGCUUCUUUAAACAGAGUGAAACUGUAGCAAAGGGUGAUUCCUCUCUGACCUUAAAGGAUAUUGCAGAAGCAAAGUUAAACACCUACAUGCUAUCACCUUCAAUAGCCAAAGAGAAGGAUCAAUUUGCAUGGUGGAAAGCACACAAAAUAAGCCUUCGUUGAGUCGCAACAAGCUCGCUGUUGGAGAGCCUUUUUAUCUAGUGGCAACACUGUCACUUGUCAACGCACCUGUCUCAAGACUACAAAGGUUGAUAAACUUAUGUUCUUAGCUAAAAACCUUGCGUAAGCAAAGCAUACAGCAGACAUACAAGAGUUGAUAUUUAUUUAUUCCAAGUUGCUUGUUUAUUUUAAGUUUUGUUAAAUUUUGUAAACCAAUGAUUGAUUGAUGCUGCUGAUGCUGCCGAUUUAAAAUGUGUACUGCUUUUGUUAACAUUUUUUUUUUAUUUUAUAAAAUAUUAAGUGACCUUUUUGUCACUUGUGUUAAUUCUCUAUUGUGGUAACGAAGCUUGUUUAUUAUUAAAAUUAAUAUCAUGAAA
Long non-coding RNA from Perca fluviatilis (European perch), 1734 nucleotides. RefSeq lists it as uncharacterized. The record is from RefSeq and is a predicted model, not a curated record. NCBI's taxonomy places the organism in Eukaryota, Metazoa, Chordata, Actinopteri, Perciformes, Percidae. The transcript is spliced from 5 exons.